CUUACGGGUGGCUGCAGUAGGGAGUAUUGCAUAAUGGGCGAAAGCCUGAUGCAGCAACGCCGCGUGUGCGAUGAAGGCCUUCGGGUCGUAAAGCACUUUUGAAGGGGAUGAGGAAGGACAGUACCCUUCGAAUAAGCUUCGGCUAACUACGUGCCAGCAGCCGCGGUAAAACGUAGGAAGCGAGCGUUAUCCGGAUUUACUGGGUGUAAAGCGCGUGUAGGCGGUUUGGCAAGUUGGAUGUGAAAGCUCCUGGCUUAACUGGGAGAGGUCGUUCAAAACUACCAGACUUGAGGAUGGGAGAGGGAGGCGGAAUUCCGGGUGUAGUGGUGAAAUGCGUAGAUAUCCGGAGGAACACCAGUGGCGAAAGCGGCCUCCUGGCCCAUAACUGACGCUCAGACGCGAAAGCUAGGGGAGCGAACGGGAUUAGAUACCCUAGUAGUC
RNAcentral lists this ribosomal RNA (441 nucleotides) under uncultured bacterium. RNAcentral's name for it is "partial 16S ribosomal RNA". It matches the Rfam family "Bacterial small subunit ribosomal RNA", at positions 338 to 795 of the family's 1533-position model. The record is from RNAcentral.